Vespula pensylvanica (western yellowjacket) is the source of this 5329-nucleotide RNA transcript. It is a transcript of the gene named diacylglycerol lipase-alpha, with no coding region annotated. The transcript is spliced from 19 exons. The record is from RefSeq and is a predicted model, not a curated record. NCBI's taxonomy places the organism in Eukaryota, Metazoa, Arthropoda, Insecta, Hymenoptera, Vespidae.
CAUUACUUCAUUGAUAAAUCGGUCAUAAAAGAACAUCAUUAUUUUCAUAUAAGGUCAAACCACAAAGAAGACAAUAAUAUCUUUCGAAGGUCUCUCUAGUAAAUAGACCUAAUAGCAAAAACAUUACACUCCAAAAAAACAUCCAAUCGGAACCUGAAGAAACUUGUUUGUAUAUCCAAGAAUUUCUUUAGAAAAACAUUGAAAGAAAAUGUAUUACAAACGAGCGCUGUCGGGGGUGACUCGUUCCCCACUACCUUACCACCACUCGUCUCUUCCCGAGUGUCAUCGGGUACGUUCGCCGCAUCGAAGAUCACCGCGGUUCGUCAGUCGCGCUUUAGCAGCCUUGUGCGAUGUAUCGCGGAAUUUAUAGGGGUAGGAAAGUUAAUGCUAGUGGUAAUGUGCUCGAUGUGACAAAGGCGACGUGUUGUAAGAUAUGAUACGGCACGUGGUGGUGCAUUGUUUAAUGUUGUUCUAAAAAAGAAAGAAAGAAAAUAAAGAAGCUCUCGUAACUAUCUUGCAUCGUUUAUUCGACCUUCGUUCUUUGUCGUUCAGUGUGGUGCUUCCUGUGCAUUUUAUUUCGAAGAAACGAGAUGACUCGGACGCGUGUAAAAAUUGGAAGAGGUUUACGGCCGAGGUAGCGCCGGCCUCGCGCGAUCGCCAGCCGAAGGGAACAAUUUCUUCGAUGGUUCGUCGACGAUCUUCGACUGAAGAUGAUUAUUCGAAGAAAGAUAUUAGAAAAAAACGACGACGCGAGUAACACCGGCGUGCCUUCUUCCCUUCUUCGAUUACUUCGUGCUGAAACGUCAAUGAUAUUCGUCUGGCGAAUUCUACCCCCUUCGUGAUACAAGAGUAACGCGAUUUACGCAUUAAGACAGAAGAAAACAAAAGGGGACUAACUUCCCUAUAAAAGAAGAGAAUAAUCUUACUGUCUACUCUCUUAUCGAGUCUUCAAGUUGCAAUUUCGUGAAAGGUGUUUCGUGUUUCUCGUGGAACGACAAAGGAUGGACGAGAAAAUCGUCGGUAGAAGGAAUCGUCGUACCGUUCGUUAUGUUCUUGGUGGUGCGCGACGGCGUGCUCGUCGACGAAGUCAUCGACGAAGUCAUCGACGAAGAGGCUCCUCCGAGCUUGAAUUACUCGAGGACAAGCUGUCCUCUUCUUUCUCAUCUUCAGUAUCUCCCUUUAUACUCUUCUUCGUUGGAUCUUCGAGGAAACGCCGAAGGAAGGAAGAAGAAUUAUCCUCGUCGUUAUCCUUCAAGUUCGUCGGCUAUUUAGAAGCCCUUCUAUCAGGAGGGUCCGUGUGAUUGAAUGGAAACCGAAGUGAGUAAAAAAAGGAGACGAUAUGCCUGGCAUCGUGGUAUUCCGACGACGGUGGAGCGUCGGCAGCGACGAUCUCGUUGUACCUGGUGCCUUCCUCUUCAUUUUGCAUCUUAUAUGCCUUAUCAAGUGAAAAUGAUUCGUUACACGAGAGAGAUAUGAGAUGUCAUCGUAUAUAUAGUACGAUAUCAUGUCCCUGCAAACAUUGUUAACGAUCUGUGGGAUCGGGAAAUCUCCGCGUUUUGUACAAUCGGUAAUCCACGUAUGUUCGAAUUCGACGAGGAUAGCUUCGGCGGAUCGUGACAAAGAACGAGAAAUACAAUGAGCGAGUGGCAGGAAAUUGGCGAGCGUCCAUUCCAUUUUCGUAGAGCGAGUAAUCGGCCGUUUCUCGAUAUACGAUAGGUGACGGUACUCGGAGUCCUAUUGGGAAUCCUUCAAUGGGAUCGCAGUGUUAUGUGCAUAUUUCUUCUAUGGGAAUACAUAUUAGGCUAUCUCGUGCUUUUCAUAGUUUCCAUGGUGGUCGAAUUUUCAAUCUGUUUCCUUGCAACGAGAGGCAGCAUUCUAGACACUGCGGUGAGGGCACCGAUGCAAUACAUACUUUAUAUUCGCUUAUUCCUCUUAUUGGUAGAAGCAGGAUGGUUAUGUGCAGGAAUAACUUGGUUAACAAGAUUUUAUCAAACCUGCCCCGUGGACCAAGCCAAGGAUGUGAUGCUGGGUUUGGUGAUAUCGAAUUGGUGUGUGUUGGCGUCGGUGAUGGUGACGGUAUGGUGUACGUACGACGCCGCCGGCAGAUCCUGGGUGAAAAUGAAGAAAUAUCAACGUAGCAUGAGGGAGGCGGAAUCGAGGAGCGGUAGAUUACACUAUAAACGCAGCGGCAGCAGAAACCGAAAUUGGCGACAACGAAAAGUUAUACGUGCCUAUCAAGAUAGCUGGGACAACAGAUGCAGAUUGUUGUUUUGUUGUAUGGGAAAUUCCGAUCGAAGUAGAAACUCUUUCGCUGACAUCGCCAGACUGUUGAGCGACUUUUUCCGUGACCUUGACGUGGUACCAUCAGACGUUGUGGCCGGGCUGGUGCUUCUACGAAAGUUUCAGAAAGUCGAAAGAGAACUGAUAGUAAAGCAAAAGAAAAACGACACGUAUGAGUUCCUCUCAGGCGUACCAGUAACGCCUCGUACUAAGUUUCUCUCCUUGACCGAGGACGGCGAUCUGGGCCAUUUCCAGUUGGCCAUUCAUUAUAUGCACUUCGCUCUCGCUGCCUACGGUUGGCCUAUGUUCCUCAUUAAUCAUUCUACGGGACUCUGCCAGUUGUGCACGAGGUUAAGAUGCGCUUGCUUUCCGUGUGGCAAUCAGGAGGAUGAAGCUACGAUAGUGGAAGAUAACUGUUGUCAAUGCAAUUAUACGGCUCUAAGGCAAAUGGUUAAAGUUGGCGAGGUCGAAGUUGUUUAUGCGACCUUUCAUGUGGACGUCGGGGAAACACCAUUUUUCGUAGCGCUCGAUUACACGAAAAAAAAGGUUGUCAUUAGUAUACGAGGAACGCUCAGUAUGAAAGACGUUUUAACAGAUUUAAAUGCGGAAGGCGAAGUGUUACCAUUAACCCCACCGAAAGACGAUUGGCUAGGUCAUAAGGGUAUGGUUCAAGCCGCAGAAUACAUACGCAAAAAGCUUCAAGAAGAGAACAUUAUCGCGCGAGCACUAUCGAAGGAUCCUUCGAGAGGUACCGAUCAGUUUGGAUUGGCAUUGGUUGGUCAUUCUCUUGGUGCAGGCACCGCAGCGAUACUUGCGAUUUUACUUAGGCAAGAAUAUCCGGAUUUGAUAUGUUUUUCUUUCGCACCACCCGGUGGAUUGCUCAGUAUGCCAGCUCAACAAUAUUCUCAAGAAUUUACGACGUCCGUGGUUGUAGGGAAGGACGUUGUCCCUAGACUAGGAUUACGACAGAUGGAAAGUUUAAGGGCCGACCUUAUCAAUGCGAUAAAAAGGAGCGUCGAUCCGAAGUGGAAAACGAUAGCUUGUUCGGUAAUGUGUUGCGGAUGUGGCUCGACACCAACAUCGGCGGCUAAUAUGGAGGCUGGUGGAUGUAUCAGCGAGUAUCAGAGAGACAAGGAUCUGGCACGAUCUCAAGCGAUCAUACCUAUGGAUUCGAGUAUCGCAUUGACCUUGCAUAGGCCGCUCUAUCCACCUGGUAGAAUUAUUCACGUAGUUCGACAUCAUCCUAAUAAGGGCGAGAAAAAGUAUGAAUCACGGUGGAGGCAGGUGUUGUCUAAACGCGAACCAGUCUAUCAGGCAUUAUGGGCAGGACCAUGUGACUUCGACGAGGUGUUGAUAAGUCCAGUGAUGAUACAGGACCACAUGCCGGAUAGCAUGCUGAAGGCUUUGAAUAAGGUUGUAACAACCCUGGGACCAGCGAAGCCACAGCGUUUGGCAUCUGGACACGCUUCUUCUGCUGAACCAUCGGAAGUCCGAGAAGUUGUGGAGGUCCAGGAGCCAGAGAUCGAGCAAGAAAUGAGGGCUCUUCUCUCACCUUCUACUCCGGUCAAAUGCCAGAGCAAUAAUCUAGCUGGGACACCACCUCACAAGCUUUGCCUCGAGACGAGCUUUACAUCAUUGCAGAGUCCGACGGAAUUCCCGCAAGCUGGUCGAGAACUCAGCGUUGACUCCAGAGGAAUACCAUGGGAAUACGUCAGCUUGGCCAGCGACUUGCUCAACACACCACGACCAGAUGAUAGUAAAUUAUCGAAUCGUCGUGGAGAUUGGGAAGAUGUCUCUCGUACCGCACCCCUUGCCACCCCCGAAACAUUGUCCGAGACAUCAAGUAAUCCACCCUCACCAAUACCACCGCCAAGACCAAUGAGACGCACACCAAAGAUUCCGGGAAACUUGUCAACGGCGGCGGACGACCUCAAAAACAAUCUCCACUUUGCUAUGCUCUCGGCGAAGAAUUACUUUCUGAGGGAGGAGAAUAUUGGAAGUAAUAGCAGUAGUGGUAAUAGCGAAGCAAGCUACGAAAGUGCCAAGAGUUUGACAGCUGAUCUUCCGCCGCCUGUACCAAGAAGAAGGGAUUCGGUUAUCGUUAGAAGAGAACAAAGAGUAUGCACGGCUGCAUGUUGUAGAGAUGAUCUAUCGGAAAAUUCGUCCACUCGUGCGUCCUCUCAUUCCUCCAGAAUUUCACGUACGUCUCAUCAUGUGCAAGUAGAUUUUCCUGAAGGAGAUAACGAGACGAACGGAUCUAGUUUAGAUUUCUUCGAGGCUAAGGGUUCAUCAGGUCAACGUGAUAGCAGUAAUGAUGUGUUUCUUAGCGUUAGAAGUUCUCCAGAAUGUAAAGGCUUAAUGGCACCUGCCACCGAUCUUGGUGCCGAAUGGAAAAGAAGAUUCGAUGUUACUGGUUUAAGUGGUGAUGCAUCCUUGCCUCUUCUUCGUGGUCUUUCGCCUACUCCAACUACCGCACAACACAGUUCUUCGCCGUUCUUUAAUGCUAAGCGAAAGAAAUAUGUUUAUCCUAUUACGUUGAUGGGUCGAGGCGAAAGCAGCGUCUAACAAAACGAAUAAGAAAAAAAAAAGAAGAAGGAUGAUCUACAAUUUUUACGAUAACUUUUCUAGCCUAAUCGAAUAAAGAAAGGUUAGAAGAAUAACAAAAAAGAACUUAUUCAUCUAUUAGUGAUUUUUCAUACUUAACAUGUUUAUAAGAUCAAAAAUAGGAGAAAGGAAUUAGUAUACUAUGAUAUUAAAAAUGAACACACCAUGACACACAAAGUAGAUGACGCAUUAUCAAAGGUUAUAAAGUCUCUCAUGGCAAUGUUUUUAAUAAUAUGAAUUUAAACAUUGUACUUGUGUACAAAGUAGAUGAAACGCGUAUAACGCAUAUAAUUCUAGUCAAUAUGGGAUAUAUUUAGAAAUGUAAUAUUUAUGGACUUAAUCAAAGUCAUAUAUAUAGAAUAUCUGUAGAAAGAUGCUGUGCAAAGUUGAUUUUGAUGUGUAAUGAAAUAUAAUAAUUUAUAAGAAAUAAAAGAAUGAAAAGAGA